This 494-nucleotide ribosomal RNA is filed under the name uncultured bacterium. RNAcentral describes it as "partial 16S ribosomal RNA". It matches the Rfam family "Bacterial small subunit ribosomal RNA", at positions 28 to 507 of the family's 1533-position model. The record is from RNAcentral.
GACGAACGCUGGCGGCGUGCUUAACACAUGCAAGUCGAACGGUGAAGCGCCUUCCUUUUUGGUGGGUGUGGAUGAGUGGCGAACGGGUGAGUAACACGUGAGUAACCUGCCCCCUUCUUCUGGAUAACCGCAUGAAAGUGUGGCUAAUACGGGAUAUUCUGGGUCUGUCGCAUGAUGGGUCUGGGAAAGAUAUUGUUUCGGUGGGGGAUGGGCUCGCGGCCUAUCAGCUUGUUGGUGGGGUGAUGGCCUACCAAGGCGGUGACGGGUAGCCGGCCUGCGAGGGUGGACGGUCACACUGGGACUGAGACCCGGCCCAGACUCCUACGGGAGGCAGCAGUGGGGAAUAUUGCACAAUGGGCGCAAGCCUGAUGCAGCGACGCCGCGUGAGGGAUGGAGGCCUUCGGGUUGUGAACCUCUUUCGCCAGUGAAGCAGGCCUGCCUCGUUUGUGGGUGGGUUGACGGUAGCUGGAUAAGAAGCGCCGGCUAACUACGUG